GCAUAUCAAUAAGCGGAGGAAAAGAAACCAACAGGGAUUGCCCCAGUAACGGCGAGUGAAGCGGCAAGAGCUCAAAUUUGAAAGCUGGCCCCCUCGGGGUCCGCAUUGUAAUUUGCAGAGGAUGCUUCGGGAGUGGCCCCCAUCUAAGUGCUCUGGAACGGGCCGUCAUAGAGGGUGAGAAUCCCGUAUGGGAUGGGGUGUCCGCGACCAUGUGAAGCUCCUUCAACGAGUCGAGUUGUUUGGGAAUGCAGCUCUAAAUGGGUGGUAAAUUUCAUCUAAAGCUAAAUAUUGGCCGGAGACCGAUAGCGCACAAGUAGAGUGAUCGAAAGAUGAAAAGCACUUUGAAAAGAGAGUUAAAAAGCACGUGAAAUUGUUGAAAGGGAAGCGCUUGCGACCAGACUCGCUCGCGGGGUUCAGCCGGUAUUCGUGCCGGUGUACUUCCCCGUGGGCGGGCCAGCGUCGGUUUGGGCGGCCGGUCAAAGGCCCUCGGAAUGUAACGCCUCUCGGGGCGUCUUAUAGCCGAGGGUGCCAUGCGGCCAGCCCGGACCGAGGAACGCGCUUCGGCACGGACGCUGGCAUAAUGGUCGUAAGCGACCCGUCUUGAAACACGGACCAAGGAGUCUAACAUCUACGCGAGUGUUCGGGUGUCAAACCCGUGCGCGCAGUGAAAGCGAACGGAGGUGGGAACCCUCACGGGUGCACCAUCGACCGAUCCUGAUGUCUUCGGAUGGAUUUGAGUAAGAGCGUAGCUGUUGGGACCCGAAAGAUGGUGAACUAUGCCUGAAUAGGGCGAAGCCAGAGGAAACUCUGGUGGAGGGGGGCAGCGGUUCUGACGUGCAAAUCGAUCGUCAAAUUUGGGUAUAGGGGCGAAAGACUAAUCGAA
RNAcentral lists this ribosomal RNA (883 nucleotides) under Penicillium restrictum. RNAcentral's name for it is "LSU rRNA". It matches the Rfam family "Eukaryotic large subunit ribosomal RNA", at positions 38 to 939 of the family's 3401-position model. Lineage: Eukaryota; Fungi; Ascomycota; Eurotiomycetes; Eurotiales; Aspergillaceae. The record is from RNAcentral.